AACGCACAUUGCGCCCUUUGGCAUUCCGAAGGGCAUGCCUGUUCGAGCGUCAUUAUCCUCCCUCAAAUCGCCUUGGUGGUUUGGUGUUGGACCGCGUUGGACCGUUCGCGGCCAACUGGUCUCAAAGACAAUGACGGCGUCCGUGGGACCCUCUUCGCACUGAGCUUUCCGGAGCACGCGUCGAGUCGCAAGGUCUCGGGGACCCGGCCUCCUCUAAAAUUUAUUUUUUCUCAGGUUGACCUCGGAUCAGGUAGGAAUACCCGCUGAACUUAA
Molecule: unclassified non-coding RNA, 273 nt
Filed under: uncultured fungus
Lineage: Eukaryota; Fungi
Description: sequence contains ITS2
Source: RNAcentral